AGGACAAGUUUGCUUUAUACACUGAUGUUGGAGCUUGGGGAAAGCCACUUGACUACAUUACCCAGCUCAGGCAGUCUGCAAUACUCAAAAGUGAGGACUUUGAGUUCUUGAUGACUGCAGUGUCCAUGACUUAAAUGUUGAACCAGAUGGCCUACAUCCAGAACUGAUGCAUGGAGUUCAAAACUACAGGGAUCAAGUUCUUGAUGACUGCAUUGUCCAUGACCAUGAUGUUGAUCCAGAUGGCCAAGAACCUGAACUGAGACAUAUGGAGGUGCAAAACAGCAUGGAGCAAG
Dreissena polymorpha is the source of this 293-nucleotide long non-coding RNA. RefSeq lists it as uncharacterized. NCBI's taxonomy places the organism in Eukaryota, Metazoa, Mollusca, Bivalvia, Myida, Dreissenidae. The transcript is spliced from 3 exons. The record is from RefSeq and is a predicted model, not a curated record.